RNAcentral lists this ribosomal RNA (492 nucleotides) under uncultured bacterium. Its description in RNAcentral is "partial 16S ribosomal RNA". It matches the Rfam family "Bacterial small subunit ribosomal RNA", at positions 29 to 507 of the family's 1533-position model. The record is from RNAcentral.
AUUGAACGCUGGCGGCAUGCUUUACACAUGCCAGUCGAACGGUAACAGGCCUUCGGGUGCUGACGAGUGGCGAACGGGGGAGUAAUGCAUCGGAACGUACCCAGAGGUGGGGGAUAACGCAGCGAAAGCUGUGCUAAUACCGCAUGUGAUCUGAGGAUGAAAGCGGGGGACCGAGCAGCAAUGUUUGGCCUCGCGCCUUUGGAGCGGCCGAUGUCGGAUUAGCUAGUUGGUGGGGUAAAGGCCUACCAAGGCGACGAUCCGUAGCUGGUCUGAGAGGACGACCAGCCACACUGGGACUGAGACACGGCCCAGACUCCUACGGGAGGCAGCAAUGGGGAAUUUUGGACAAUGGGCGCAAGCCUGAUCCAGCAAUGCCGCGUGCGGGAAGAAGGCCUUCGGGUUGUAAACCGCUUUUGGCAGGAACGAAACGGUGUCCGCUAAUACCGGGCGCUAAUGACGGUACCUGCAGAAUAAGCACCGGCUAACUACGUG